Small nuclear RNA from Dermacentor silvarum, 183 nucleotides. RefSeq annotates it as U2 spliceosomal RNA. The transcript has a single exon. Lineage: Eukaryota; Metazoa; Arthropoda; Arachnida; Ixodida; Ixodidae. The record is from RefSeq and is a predicted model, not a curated record.
AUGGCCGACGUGAGUCAAAAUGUAGUAUCUGUUCUUAUCAGCUUUAGAUGUGAUAUGGGUUGUAUUUGGACCCAACAUAUUAAACCUAUUUUUGCAAGUUAGCGGAGUGUUUGAAGCUUGCGUCACCUCCACCACGGGUCGGCCCGGUAUUGCACUAUCUUCGGGAUUUUUGGUCUACGGACA